Molecule: ribosomal RNA, 253 nt
Filed under: uncultured bacterium
Lineage: Bacteria
Description: partial 16S ribosomal RNA
Rfam family: Bacterial small subunit ribosomal RNA
Source: RNAcentral
UACAGAGGUCUCAAGCGUUGUUCGGAUUCAUUGGGCGUAAAGGGUGCGUAGGCGGCGCGGUAAGUCGGGUGUGAAAUCUCGGGGCUCAACCCCGGAACUGCAUUGGAUACUGCUUUGCUAGAGUACUGGAGAGGGAACUGGAAUUUACGGUGUAGCAGUGAAAUGCGUAGAGAUCGUAAGGAAGGCCAGUGGCGAAGGCGGGUCUCUGGACAGUUCCUGACGCUGAGGCACGAAGGCCAGGGGAGCAAACGGG